Molecule: ribosomal RNA, 524 nt
Filed under: uncultured bacterium
Lineage: Bacteria
Description: bacterial SSU rRNA
Rfam family: Bacterial small subunit ribosomal RNA
Source: RNAcentral
CAUCCAGCGAAUUCGGUAGAGAUACCUUAGUGCCUUCGGGAACGCUGAGACAGGUGCUGCAUGGCUGUCGUCAGCUCGUGUUGUGAAAUGUUGGGUUAAGUCCCGCAACGAGCGCAACCCUUAUCCUUUGUUGCCAGCGGUCCGGCCGGGAACUCAAAGGAGACUGCCAGUGAUAAACUGGAGGAAGGUGGGGAUGACGUCAAGUCAUCAUGGCCCUUACGAGUAGGGCUACACACGUGCUACAAUGGCGCAUACAAAGAGAAGCGACCUCGCGAGAGCAAGCGGACCUCAUAAAGUGCGUCGUAGUCCGGAUUGGAGUCUGCAACUCGACUCCAUGAAGUCGGAAUCGCUAGUAAUCGUAGAUCAGAAUGCUACGGUGAAUACGUUCCCGGGCCUUGUACACACCGCCCGUCACACCAUGGGAGUGGGUUGCAAAAGAAGUAGGUAGCUUAACCUUCGGGAGGGCGCUUACCACUUUGUGAUUCAUGACUGGGGUGAAGUCGUAACAAGGUAAGCGUAGCGAG